UUCAAACCCAUUGGGAUUCAAACUGAAGUAAAGAAGAAGAAACAAAUUCUAGAGUGUAGCUGAAACCUGGAUAACUACUGUCCAUAAAUAUUCAACUACAUAUAAUAAGUCAUACAGAAACACAUAGUUUUAUAAGCCACUUGAAACGAAAAUGUUUUCUUAGGAUUGUGCUUUUAAAUGAAGAACCAUUCAUUUAUAUGAAACUUUGGACAAAGUUGUGAAACUAAUCAUACAGGAAUGAAGCUUUAGACAAAAGUUGUGAAACUAACCAGAAAUGUAAAGUCUAGCAAGCUAUAAAUAUAAAUGUGUUAAGUAUUGAGUGUGUCCAGACAAGAUUUCAUCCUUUUCUGCUUUGGUACACUAUAAGAAUAACUUCAACCUCCCUUUGAAAACUAAUAAUUAUGAGUAUCUGGAGAUCAAAGCAGUAGAGUGGAUCUGAGAUUUAAUGGGUCAACAAUUGUAACAUGACAAGAAAAGUAUAUUAUUUCAAUCUAGAUGAGCCUGUAAACAUAUGUAUUCAUAUUAUUUCAAUCUAGAUGAGCCUGUAAACAUAUGUAUUCAUUGCACUUCAGAAACAAGAAAAACACAAGAGAAGUAAAUAGAAAACAUUUCAGUAGUUCAACUGUACAUUUUUGGCCUAUUUACAAAGCAUAAACAAAAUAUUAACAUUGCUUAAAAAGUUAUAGUUUGAAGAAGAACAACAUGCCAAAGUAGAUCAUUUAAAUAAGAGAAAACUGACUUGCAGUAUUUGAAGUGUAAACCAAGAAAAACACAAUCUCACACUAAAUCUGUCUGAUUGGGGAAAACAGAAUUUUCAGAUAUUUAAUGUAUAAGUCAAUGAAGUAUUUGAAGCUGGACAAAGAUACUUGAAAAACUAUGAAAUGAAAUAAUUCAGAGACUGGCUAUGUACACAUUGCAGGAAGUUUUGUUUAUGGUGCUAUACAUGAUGGCACUUAAUGUUUCAAGAAACAGACCUUGAUAUAACAAAACCUUUGCUAAUAAGUAGCCCUUUCUUUUUUUUAUCCCAUGGAAGUUUGUAUAUGUAUAGGUUAUGUAUUUUUUUAUCUAAAAAUAUUUAAAUUAUGAACAAAAUAUUUAAUUUUAAUCUGAAACCAUGGCCCUGGCGUUGAAAGGGUUAGUUCAGACAUGUUGGCCACAGAAACAAGUUACCUUACCAGCCUCAAGAAGUUAUCACUAUAAAACCAACAGCUACAUAAAAAGAAAAUAUUAUGUAAGUAAAGAAUGUAAGUUUAUUUUUCAGUUAAUACAUUAAUGUGUAUAUUAAGAGACUUUAUUAUCACUCAGCUUUUCAAUGUAAGUUUGUCAGAAACAAAAACAACAAUUCAUAAACAUGAGAAGAACAAUCUCUCUUCAAAAUAUGCUCCGCUGGACAUCAUUCCUACAUUAAAUACAGUGACACAAAUAGUUAAGAAUGCUGAGUGUUAAGUGUUUCUGGGUUAUGUCAUAUCACUAACAUCAACACAGGAGAACUGACAGGAUCCUUUCAAUGAACACUAAUAUCAAAACAUGUGUAUCUUUAGUCCACAUAUAACAAUAUCAACAUAGUUUUAACCAAAACAAUCACCAUCACUGUCUGUGCCUAUCCCAUCAGAAAACAACAACAAAAAAAAAAAAAAAAAAAAAAA
Biomphalaria pfeifferi is the source of this 1646-nucleotide non-coding RNA. Lineage: Eukaryota; Metazoa; Mollusca; Gastropoda; Planorbidae. The record is from the annotation of a GenBank genome assembly.